This 447-nucleotide ribosomal RNA is filed under the name uncultured soil bacterium. RNAcentral's name for it is "bacterial SSU rRNA". It matches the Rfam family "Bacterial small subunit ribosomal RNA", at positions 26 to 518 of the family's 1533-position model. The record is from RNAcentral.
AGAACGAACGCUGGCGGCAGGCCUAACACAUGCAAGUCGAACGCUGUAGCAAUACAGAGUGGCAGACGGGUGAGUAACGCGUGGGAACCUUCCCAGUGGUGCGGAAUAGCUCAGGGAAACUUGAGGUAAUACCGCAUAAGCCCUUAGGGGGAAAGAUUUAUCGCCAUUGGAUGGGCCCGCGUCGGAUUAGCUAGUUGGUGAGGUAAUGGCUCACCAAGGCAACGAUCCGUAGCUGGUUUGAGAGAAUGACCAGCCACACUGGGACUGAGACACGGCCCAGACUCCUACGGGAGGCAGCAGUGGGGAAUCUUGGACAAUGGGCGCAAGCCUGAUCCAGCCAUGCCGCGUGAGUGACGAAGGCCUUAGGGUUGUAAAGCUCGUUUGCCGGGGACGAUAAUGACGGUACCCGGAGAAUAAGUCCCGGACUAACUUCGUGCCAGCAGCCGC